GAGUGAACGCUGGCGGUAGGCCUAACACAUGCAAGUCGAACGGCAGCACAGUAAGAGCUUGCUCUUACGGGUGGCGAGUGGCGGACGGGUGAGGAAUACAUCGGAAUCUACUUUUUCGUGGGGGAUAACGUAGGGAAACUUACGCUAAUACCGCAUACGACCUACGGGUGAAAGCAGGGGAUCUUCGGACCUUGCGCGAUUGAAUGAGCCGAUGUCGGAUUAGCUAGUUGGCGGGGUAAAGGCCCACCAAGGCGACGAUCCGUAGCUGGUCUGAGAGGAUGAUCAGCCACACUGGAACUGAGACACGGUCCAGACUCCUACGGGAGGCAGCAGUGGGGAAUAUUGGACAAUGGGCGCAAGCCUGAUCCAGCCAUACCGCGUGGGUGAAGAAGGCCUUCGGGUUGUAAAGCCCUUUUGUUGGGAAAGAAAAGCGGCAGGUUAAUACCCCGCUGUUCUGACGGUACCCAAAGAAUAAGCACCGGCUAACUUCGUG
RNAcentral lists this ribosomal RNA (493 nucleotides) under uncultured bacterium. RNAcentral's name for it is "partial 16S ribosomal RNA". It matches the Rfam family "Bacterial small subunit ribosomal RNA", at positions 27 to 507 of the family's 1533-position model. The record is from RNAcentral.